This 172-nucleotide non-coding RNA is filed under the name uncultured Oxalobacter sp. The record is from RNAcentral. Lineage: Bacteria; Pseudomonadati; Pseudomonadota; Betaproteobacteria; Burkholderiales; Oxalobacteraceae.
CGGGUAAUGGUUCCUGUAGCAGGAUGAAAAGGGAAUUUGGUGAAGUUCACUUGACUAUUCCAAAGCUGCCCCAGCAACUGUAUGCGGUAGUGAUCGUCUGCCAAUUGCCGGAUGACCGGAAAGGAAGAUGUGUUGCCAGAAUCCGCAAGCCAGAAUACCUGCCAUUGCAAUA